GAUGAACGCUGGCGGCGUGCCUAAUACAUGCAACUCGAGCGAACGGACGAGAAGCUUGCUUCUCUGAUGUUAGCGGCGGACGGGUGAGUAACACGUGGAUAACCUACCUAUAAGACUGGGAUAACUUCGGGAAACCGGAGCUAAUACCGGAUAAUAUUUUGAACCGCAUAGUUCAAAAGUGAAAGACGGUCUUGCUGUCACUUAUAGAUGGAUCCGCGCUGCAUUAGCUAGUUGGUAAGGUAACGGCUUACCAAGGCAACGAUGCAUAGCCGACCUGAGAGGGUGAUCGGCCACACUGGAACUGAGGCACGGUCCAGACUCCUACGGGAGGCAGCAGUAGGGAAUCUUCCGCAAUGGGCGAAAGCCUGACGGAGCAACGCCGCGUGAGUGAUGAAGGUCUUCGGAUCGUAAAACUCUGUUAUUAGGGAAGAACAUAUGUGUAAGUAACUGUGCACAUCUUGACGGUACCUAAUCAGAAAGCCACGGCUAACUACGUG
RNAcentral lists this ribosomal RNA (497 nucleotides) under uncultured bacterium. Its description in RNAcentral is "partial 16S ribosomal RNA". It matches the Rfam family "Bacterial small subunit ribosomal RNA", at positions 28 to 507 of the family's 1533-position model. The record is from RNAcentral.